GACGAACGCUGGCGGCGUGCCUAAUACAUGCAAGUUGAGCGAUGAAGAUUGGUGCUUGCACCAAUUUGAAGAGCAGCGAACGGGUGAGUAACGCGUGGGGAAUCUGCCUUUGAGCGGGGGACAACAUUUGGAAACGAAUGCUAAUACCGCAUAACAACUUUAAACAUAAGUUUUAAGUUUGAAAGAUGCAAUUGCAUCACUCAAAGAUGAUCCCGCGUUGUAUUAGCUAGUUGGUGAGGUAAAGGCUCACCAAGGCGAUGAUACAUAGCCGACCUGAGAGGGUGAUCGGCCACAUUGGGACUGAGACACGGCCCAAACGCCUACGGGAGGCAGCAGUAGGGAAUCUUCGGCAAUGGACGAAAGUCUGACCGAGCAACGCCGCGUGAGUGAAGAAGGGUUUCGGAUCGUAAAACUCGGUUGGUAGAGAAGAACGUUGGUGAGAGUGGAAAGCUCAUCAAGUGACGGUAACUACCCAGAAAGGGACGGCUAACUACGUG
Molecule: ribosomal RNA, 497 nt
Filed under: uncultured bacterium
Lineage: Bacteria
Description: partial 16S ribosomal RNA
Rfam family: Bacterial small subunit ribosomal RNA
Source: RNAcentral